UACGGAGGAUCCAAGCGUUAUCCGGAAUUACUGGGCGUAAAGAGUUGCGUAGGUGGCAUAGUAAGCAGAUAGUGAAAGCGUGUGGCUCAACCAUACAUCCAUUAUCUGAACUGCUAAGCUAGAAGAUGAGAGAGGUAGAUGGAAUUCCUAGUGGAGGGGUAAUAUCCGUAGAUAUUAGGAGGAACACCGAUGGCGUAGGCAGUCUACUGGCUCAUUCUUGACACUAAGGCACGAAAGCGUGGGGAGCAAACAGG
This 254-nucleotide ribosomal RNA is filed under the name uncultured bacterium. Its description in RNAcentral is "partial 16S ribosomal RNA". It matches the Rfam family "Bacterial small subunit ribosomal RNA", at positions 524 to 776 of the family's 1533-position model. The record is from RNAcentral.